AGUUUGAAUCCUGGCUCAGGAUGAACGCUANCGGGCAGGGCUUAAUACAUGCAAGUCGUAGGGGCAGCGGGAGUAGCAAUACUUGCCGGCGACCGGCGCACGGGUGCGUAACACGUAUGUAANCUGCCCAUCACAGGAGGAUAGCCCGGAGAAAUUCGGAUUAAUACUCCAUAAUAGAAGAUAAAGCAUUUUAUUUUCUUGAAAGUUCCGACGGUGAUGGAUGAACAUGCGACUGAUUAGUUGUUGGUGAGGUAACGGCUCACCAAGACUACGAUCAGUAGGGGUACUGAGAGGUUAAACCCCCCACACUGGUACUGAGACACGGACCAGACUCCUACGGGAGGCAGCAGUAAGGAAUAUUGGACAAUGGCCGCAAGGCUGAUCCAGCCAUGCCGCGUGCAGGAAGACGGACCUAUGGUUUGUAAACUGCUUUGAACGGGAGAAAACCCCCUACGUGUAGGGGGCUGAUAGUACUGUUAGAAUAAGCAUCGGCUAACUUCGUG
This 503-nucleotide ribosomal RNA is filed under the name uncultured bacterium. RNAcentral describes it as "bacterial SSU rRNA". It matches the Rfam family "Bacterial small subunit ribosomal RNA", at positions 10 to 507 of the family's 1533-position model. The record is from RNAcentral.